UAGUCCACGCCGUAAACGAUGAUCACUCGUUGUAUGCCUAUAUUUGGUAUGCGACUGAGCGAAAGCAUUAAGUGAUCCACCUGGGGAGUACGUUCGCAAGAAUGAAACUCAAAGGAAUUGACGGGGGCCCGCACAAGCGGUGGAACAUGUGGUUUAAUUCGAUGAUACGCGAGGAACCUUACCUGGGCUUAAAUGUAGAGUGCAUUAAUUGGAAACAGUUAUUUUCUUCGGAACUCUUUACAAGGUGCUGCAUGGUUGUCGUCAGCUCGUGCCGUGAGGUGUCGGGUUAAGUCCCAUAACGAGCGCAACCCCUACUGCUAGUUGCUAACAGGUUAAGCUGAGGACUCUAGCGGGACUGCCGGUGUAAACCGCGAGGAAGGUGGGGAUGACGUCAAAUCAGCACGGCCCUUAUGUCCAGGGCUACACACGUGUUACAAUGGCCGAUACAAUGAGCAGCUACCAGGUGACUGGAUGCUAAUCUCCAAAGUCGGUCUCAGUUCGG
RNAcentral lists this ribosomal RNA (502 nucleotides) under uncultured bacterium. Its description in RNAcentral is "bacterial SSU rRNA". It matches the Rfam family "Bacterial small subunit ribosomal RNA", at positions 791 to 1296 of the family's 1533-position model. The record is from RNAcentral.